GGGCCGGCAGGUNUAGGUCGCAUGCAUCCGGAAGGCCAGCCCCAGCGGGUAUGCUGUCGCGCAGCGAAGCACCCAGGCUGAUUUGCCUUGGGCCGGCAGGUUUAGGUCGCAUGCAUCCGGAAGGCCAGCCCCAGGGGGUAUGCUCUCGCGCGGCGAAGCACCCAGGCUGAUUUGCCUUGGGCCGGCAGGUUUAGUCGCAUGCAUCCGGAAGGCCAGCCCCAGGGGGUAUGCUGUCGCGCAACGAAGCACCCAGGCUGAUUUGCCUUGGGCCGGCAGGUUUAGGUCGCAUGCAUCCGGAAGGCCAGCCCCAGGGGGUAUGCUGUCGCGCGGCGAAGCACCCAGGCUGAUUUGCCUUGGGCCGGCAGGUUUAGGUCGCAUGCAUCCGGAAGGCCAGCCCCAGCGGGUAUGCUGUCGCGCAGCGAAGCACCCAGGCUGAUUUGCCUUGGGCCGGCAGGUUUAGUCGCAUGCAUCCGGAAGGCCAGCCCCAGCGGGUAUGCUGUCGCGCAGCGAAGCACCCAGGCUGAUUUGCCUUGGGCCGGCAGGUUUAGGUCGCAUGCAUCCGGAAGGCCAGCCCCAGGGGGUAUGCUCUCGCGCGGCGAAGCACCCCGGCUGAGUUGCCUUGGGCCGGCAGGUUUGGUCGCAAGUAACCCGGCAGGCCCGUCACAGGGGGCACGCUCCCGCGCAGGGUUGGAUUACCUUGAACCCGCCUGCAUGGAUCCGCUUCUGAAGGCCAGCACUAAGGGUGGUU
This 748-nucleotide long non-coding RNA is filed under the name Volvox carteri. RNAcentral describes it as "long non-coding RNA (VCAR_LNC002151)". Lineage: Eukaryota; Viridiplantae; Chlorophyta; Chlorophyceae; Chlamydomonadales; Volvocaceae. The record is from RNAcentral.